GUAUUUUGUUGUUGUCAUUGCUUCCUUGCGGAAUCGCUGACAGGUUUAAAGUAUUAGCGUAAUUUCUCGUUAUAACAUAGAAACAAUUGCACAUUCUUUGAAAGGAUGCUUAGUCCUUCGUUAUCGAAAUGAUCCUUCCGCAGGUUCACCUACGGAAA
Molecule: unclassified non-coding RNA, 158 nt
Filed under: uncultured fungus
Lineage: Eukaryota; Fungi
Description: sequence contains ITS1
Source: RNAcentral